UGGUGGAGUGAUUUGUCUGGUUAAUUCCGAUAACGAACGAGACCCCCGCCUGCUAACUAGUGGGGACAAUGCUUUGCAUUGUUCUUUCUCGCUUCUUAGAGGGACUUUCGGUGUUUUAGCCGAAGGAAGUUGGGGCAAUAACA
Molecule: ribosomal RNA, 143 nt
Filed under: uncultured eukaryote
Lineage: Eukaryota
Description: partial 18S ribosomal RNA
Rfam family: Eukaryotic small subunit ribosomal RNA
Source: RNAcentral